GGUCCAGUGGAGCAAUGGUAGCUCGUCACUCUCUGGAGGUGUAGGUUGCAGGUUCGAAUCCUGUCUGGAUCG
RNAcentral lists this transfer RNA (72 nucleotides) under Sphaerobolus stellatus SS14. RNAcentral describes it as "tRNA-Gln (CTG) (tRNA-Gln-CTG-8-1)". It matches the Rfam family "tRNA". Rfam says of the family: Transfer RNA (tRNA) molecules are approximately 80 nucleotides in length. The record is from RNAcentral. Lineage: Eukaryota; Fungi; Basidiomycota; Agaricomycetes; Geastrales; Sphaerobolaceae.